This 369-nucleotide ribosomal RNA is filed under the name uncultured organism. Its description in RNAcentral is "bacterial SSU rRNA". It matches the Rfam family "Bacterial small subunit ribosomal RNA", at positions 526 to 897 of the family's 1533-position model. The record is from RNAcentral.
CGUAGGGUGCAAGCGUUAAUCGGAAGUUACUGGCGUAAAGCGUGCGCAGGCGGUUAUGCAAGACAGAUGUGAAAUCCCCGGGCUCAACCUGGGAACUGCAUUUGUGACUGCAUGGCUAGAGUACGUAGGGGGGAUGGAAUUCCGCGUGUAGCAGUGAAAUGCGUAGAUAUGCGGAGGAACACCGAUGGCGAAGGCAAUCCCCUGGACCUGUACUGACGCUCAUGCACGAAAGCGUGGGGAGCAAACAGGAUUAGAUACCCUGGUAGUCCACGCCCUAAACGAUGUCAACUGGUUGUUGGGAGGGUUUCUUCUCAGUAACGUAGCUAACGCGUGAAGUUGACCGCCUGGGGAGUACGGCCGCAAGGUUGA